UACGUAGGGUGCAAGCGUUGUCCGGAAUUAUUGGGCGUAAAGAGCUCGUAGGCGGUCUGUCGCGUCGGCUGUGAAAACUCGGGGCUCAACUCCGAGCUUGCAGUCGAUACGGGCAGGCUAGAGUUCGGCAGGGGAGACUGGAAUUCCUGGUGUAGCGGUGAAAUGCGCAGAUAUCAGGAGGAACACCGGUGGCGAAGGCGGGUCUCUGGGCCGAUACUGACGCUGAGGCGCGAAAGCGUGGGGAGCAAACAGG
Molecule: ribosomal RNA, 253 nt
Filed under: uncultured bacterium
Lineage: Bacteria
Description: partial 16S ribosomal RNA
Rfam family: Bacterial small subunit ribosomal RNA
Source: RNAcentral